UCAGUCCCGAAAGAUGGUGUUAAUUUAGUAGACAACAUCGCCAUUGGCUAGUCACUUU
This 58-nucleotide small nuclear RNA is filed under the name Eremothecium sinecaudum. RNAcentral's name for it is "HERSNR39b". Lineage: Eukaryota; Fungi; Ascomycota; Saccharomycetes; Saccharomycetales; Saccharomycetaceae. The record is from RNAcentral.